UUUAUGCGGACACUUCCUACAGGUAGCGUUGACCCUAAUUUUGGUCGUCGGGUACGCAAUCGCCGCCAGUUAAAUAGCUUGCAAAAUACGUGGCCUUAUGGUUACAGUAUGCCCAUCGCAGUUCGCUACACGCAGGACGCUUUUUCACGUUCUGGUUGGUUGUGGCCUGUUGAUGCUAAAGGUGAGCCGCUUAAAGCUACCAGUUAUAUGGCUGUUGGUUUCUAUGUGGCUAAAUACGUUAACAAAAAGUCAGAUAUGGACCUUGCUGCUAAAGGUCUAGGAGCUAAAGAAUGGAACAACUCACUAAAAACCAAGCUGUCGCUACUUCCCAAGAAGCUGUUCAGAAU
RNAcentral lists this ribosomal RNA (347 nucleotides) under uncultured prokaryote. RNAcentral describes it as "partial 16S ribosomal RNA". The record is from RNAcentral.